RNAcentral lists this ribosomal RNA (497 nucleotides) under uncultured bacterium. Its description in RNAcentral is "partial 16S ribosomal RNA". It matches the Rfam family "Bacterial small subunit ribosomal RNA", at positions 28 to 507 of the family's 1533-position model. The record is from RNAcentral.
GAUGAACGCUGGCGGCGUGCCUAAUACAUGCAAGUCGAGCGAACGGACGAGAAGCUUGCUUCUCUGAUGUUAGCGGCGGACGGGUGAGUAACACGUGGAUAACCUACCUAUAAGACUGGGAUAACUUCGGGAAACCGGAGCUAAUACCGGAUAAUAUUUUGAACCGCAUGGUUCAAAAGUGAAAGACGGUCUUGCUGUCACUUAUAGAUGGAUCCGCGCUGCAUUAGCUAGUUGGUAAGGUAACGGCUUACCAAGGCAACGAUGCAUAGCCGACCUGAGAGCGUGAUCAGCCACACUGGAACUGAGACACGAUCCAGACUCCUACGGGAGGGAGCAAUAGGGAAUCUUCCGCGACGCGCGAAAGCCUGACGGAGCAACGCCGCGUGAGUGAUGAAGGUCUUCGGAUCGUAAAACUCUGUUAUUAGGGAAGAACAUAUGUGUAAGUAACUGUGCACAUCUUGACGGUACCUAAUCAGAAAGCCACGGCUAACUACGUG